AAGUCGUAACAAGGUUUCCGUAGGUGAACCUGCGGAAGGAUCAUCAUCGAUUUCAUAUCCCCCUCAACCGGAGGGGGACCCAUGAUAAACCCUUCUGUGCACCGUAAACCGUUCACUUUGGCAGGCUUUGGUGGUGAGCGUGAGCUCGCCUCCAACCUCGCGUUCCCUCCCUAGGGGUGUUACGCGUGGCGGCCUGCCGGAGUCCCAUUAAAAAACUCGUUUUCGAACACGUCUGAAAAUUUCCUUUGAGAAAUCAAAGAACCGAAAACAACUUUCAACAACGGAUCUCUUGGCUCUC
Molecule: unclassified non-coding RNA, 298 nt
Filed under: fungal sp.
Lineage: Eukaryota; Fungi
Description: partial internal transcribed spacer region
Rfam family: Eukaryotic small subunit ribosomal RNA (bases 1-46)
Source: RNAcentral